GACGAACGCUGGCGGCGUGCUUAACACAUGCAAGUCGAGCGGUAAGGCCCUUUCGGGGGUACACGAGCGCGAACGGGUGAGUAACACGUGGGUGACCUGCCCUCAGCUCUGGGGAUAACGCCUGGGAAACCGGGUCUAAUACCGGAUAUGACUCCAUGACGCAGUGUUGUGGGGUGGAAAGCCUUGUGCGGCUGAGGAUGGGCCCGCGGCCUAUCAGCUUGGUUGGUGGGGUGAUGGCCUACCAAGGCGACGAC
RNAcentral lists this ribosomal RNA (254 nucleotides) under uncultured bacterium. RNAcentral's name for it is "partial 16S ribosomal RNA". It matches the Rfam family "Bacterial small subunit ribosomal RNA", at positions 28 to 280 of the family's 1533-position model. The record is from RNAcentral.